Molecule: ribosomal RNA, 683 nt
Filed under: Lactobacillus gasseri
Lineage: Bacteria; Bacillati; Bacillota; Bacilli; Lactobacillales; Lactobacillaceae
Description: bacterial SSU rRNA
Rfam family: Bacterial small subunit ribosomal RNA
Source: RNAcentral
UGGACGCAAGUCUGAUGGAGCAACGCCGCGUGAGAGAAGAAGGGUUUCGGCUCGUAAAGCUCUGUUGGUAGUGAAGAAAGAUAGAGGUAGUAACUGGCCUUUAUUUGACGGUAAUUACUUAGAAAGUCACGGCUAACUACGUGCCAGCAGCCGCGGUAAUACGUAGGUGGCAAGCGUUGUCCGGAUUUAUUGGGCGUAAAGCGAGUGCAGGCGGUUCAAUAAGUCUGAUGUGAAAGCCUUCGGCUCAACCGGAGAAUUGCAUCAGAAACUGUUGAACUUGAGUGCAGAAGAGGAGAGUGGAACUCCAUGUGUAGCGGUGGAAUGCGUAGAUAUAUGGAAGAACACCAGUGGCGAAGGCGGCUCUCUGGUCUGCAACUGACGCUGAGGCUCGAAAGCAUGGGUAGCGAACAGGAUUAGAUACCCUGGUAGUCCAUGCCGUAAACGAUGAGUGCUAAGUGUUGGGAGGUUUCCGCCUCUCAGUGCUGCAGCUAACGCAUUAAGCACUCCGCCUGGGGAGUACGACCGCAAGGUUGAAACUCAAAGGAAUUGACGGGGGCCCGCACAAGCGGUGGAGCAUGUGGUUUAAUUCGAAGCAACGCGAAGAACCUUACCAGGUCUUGACAUCCAGUGCGAACCUAAGAGAUUAGGUGUUCCCUUCGGGGACGCUGAGACAGGUGGGCAUG